AGUGAACGCUGGCGGUAGGCCUAACACAUGCAAGUCGAACGGCAGCACAGUAAGAGCUUGCUCUUACGGGUGGCGAGUGGCGGACGGGUGAGGAAUACAUCGGAAUCUACUUUUUCGUGGGGGAUAACGUAGGGAAACUUACGCUAAUACCGCAUACGACCUACGGGUGAAAGCAGGGGAUCUUCGGACCUUGCGCGAUUGAAUGAGCCGAUGUCGGAUUAGCUAGUUGGCGGGGUAAAGGCCAACCAAGGCGACGAUCCGUAGCUGGUCUGAGAGGAUGAUCAGCCACACUGGAACUGAGACACGGUCCAGACUCCUACGGGAGGCAGCAGUGGGGAAUAUUGGACAAUGGGCGCAAGCCUGAUCCAGCCAUACCGCGUGAGUGAAGAAGGCCUUCGGGUUGUAAAGCCCUUUUGUUGGGAAAGAAAAGCAGCAGGUUAAUACCCCGCUGUUCUGACGGUACCCAAAGAAUAAGCACCGGCUAACUUCGUG
Molecule: ribosomal RNA, 492 nt
Filed under: uncultured bacterium
Lineage: Bacteria
Description: partial 16S ribosomal RNA
Rfam family: Bacterial small subunit ribosomal RNA
Source: RNAcentral